RNAcentral lists this ribosomal RNA (827 nucleotides) under uncultured bacterium. Its description in RNAcentral is "bacterial SSU rRNA". It matches the Rfam family "Bacterial small subunit ribosomal RNA", at positions 69 to 889 of the family's 1533-position model. The record is from RNAcentral.
GCACAGCCCCGCAAGGGGUGGGUGGCGAGUGGCGGACGGGUGAGGAAUACGUCGGAAUCUGCCUAUUUGUGGGGGAUAACGUAGGGAAACUUACGCUAAUACCGCAUACGACCUACGGGUGAAAGCGGAGGACCUUCGGGCUCCGCGCAGAUAGAUGAGCCGACGUCGGAUUAGCUAGUUGGCGGGGUAAAGGCCCACCAAGGCGACGAUCCGUAGCUGGUCUGAGAGGAUGAUCAGCCACACUGGAACUGAGACACGGUCCAGACUCCUACGGGAGGCAGCACCUGGGAAUAUUGGACAAUGGGCGCAAGCCUGAUCCAGCCAUGCCGCGUGUGUGAAGAAGGCCUUCGGGUUGUAAAGCACUUUUGUCCGGAAAGAAAAGCCUUGGGUUAAUACCCCGGGGUCAUGACGGUACCGGAAGAAUAAGCACCGGCUAACUUCGUGCCAGCAGCCGCGGUAAUACGAAGGGUGCAAGCGUUACUCGGAAUUACUGGGCGUAAAGCGUGCGUAGGUGGUUCGUUAAGUCUGAUGUGAAAGCCCUGGGCUCAACCUGGGAAUGGCAUUGGAUACUGGCGAUCUAGAGUGCGGUAGAGGGGUGUGGAAUUCCCGGUGUAGCAGUGAAAUGCGUAGAUAUCGGGAGGAACAUCUGUGGCGAAGGCGACACCCUGGACCAGCACUGACACUGAGGCACGAAAGCGUGGGGAGCAAACAGGAUUAGAUACCCUGGUAGUCCACGCCCUAAACGAUGCGAACUGGAUGUUGGGGGCAACUUGGCCCUCAGUUUCGAAGCUAACGCGUUAAGUUCGCCGCCUGGGAAGUACGGUCGC